UCCCUGGUAGUAUAUCGGUUCAGUACACGCGCCUGUCAUUGAUUGGGUCGCGCGAGAGCCGGGUUCGACUCCCGGCCGGGGAG
Molecule: transfer RNA, 83 nt
Filed under: Athelia sp. TMB
Lineage: Eukaryota; Fungi; Basidiomycota; Agaricomycetes; Atheliales; Atheliaceae
Description: tRNA-Asp
Rfam family: tRNA
About the family: Transfer RNA (tRNA) molecules are approximately 80 nucleotides in length.
Source: RNAcentral